GUUUUAGCAAAAGAUUUCCCAACAUAAAAUCUUAGGAUAGAAUCAAAGCUUUGUGAGAACAUGAGAUAGUUGUCCAACAUAUCUCCUAUUUAUACAGUAUCUAAAACAAAAGGCUCGGAUUAAGGUAAUUAGUUCAUUAAUAUUGAAUAGUAAAUUUAUUUAACAAAAAGGGGGGAGAUGUCACAUGUACGGGACCAUUUGUGUAUCAGCAAAUGUGUGUUUUUUUGGGGGAAACAUUUGUAAUUCAUAGUAGAAAGUUUCAGUACAUUGAAACAUGAGUUCAGAGUAAAACAAAUUAGAGAACACAGUAGUAACCCUUACCAACACAUAAACUAUACCCAGAAAUUCGCCAAAUCCUAGAAAUUUGUGCCGGUAAGAACAGCUCCGCCACCAAUACCCAUCAAAACCACACCUCUUGCUCUUCAGGAAGAUGUUAGCCACUAGCAAACAGACACGUUGACUAGUGCGUCGUAUCCGCUCCCACCAAAGACGCCAUCCCAGAUCAUCUAACUUGUUUAAACCGUUAAGAUCAGACGAAGAAAACAAACGAAUCAGUUAAGCCUCGAGCGAAUUGAUACACCGGAUCCGAGUGAGCGAGUCCUAGCCAACUCGAGAAAACCUCCAACAUUUAUUUAACCCGAGACAAAACCCCCUGGAAAAACAAGGGAGGCCGACAUGGGGAAGCAGGAGGAGCGAGAGGGAAGGCGAGAAAGCGGAGAACCGGAGAAAGGUUGGUGAGGGAGGAGAGGAAACCGACUGUUCCAAAGUGGCCAGAGGCGACAACCCAGAAAGGAACCGCUCCAAAAAACAACAUCAAGAGAAAGGAGGGAGGAAGGUGAGGGGAGAGGGGAGGGGGAGGGGAAGGGGAAGAAGGGAGAAAGUCGGCGACGACAAUAAGGUGAAAAACCAGACUUCAGGAGAAGAGAACAUAGAAGGGAGAAGCAGGCCGUCCGCCACCCGACGACAAAAAACCUUACCUCGGGAAACCAAAAUGAAAGAGAAAGGUAGAGGUAUUUUUUUAUUCACAAGACAAGUGUCUUUUAUUUCUUAAAUAUAUAUUUAAUAAAAAUAUAAUAAAAUAUUAAAAAUAUAUCUUAAUAUUUUAAA
RNAcentral lists this long non-coding RNA (1107 nucleotides) under Gossypium raimondii (Peruvian cotton). RNAcentral describes it as "long non-coding RNA (GRAI_LNC006948)". The record is from RNAcentral. Lineage: Eukaryota; Viridiplantae; Streptophyta; Magnoliopsida; Malvales; Malvaceae.